GCCGAUGAUGAUUUAUGGUUGGUUGCAGCAAAUGCAAGAUAUUAAUCUUGUAUGUUGUUGAUAUUUGUGUACUAGGACGGUCUGAGGC
Beta vulgaris subsp. vulgaris (sugar beet) is the source of this 88-nucleotide non-coding RNA. NCBI's taxonomy places the organism in Eukaryota, Viridiplantae, Streptophyta, Magnoliopsida, Caryophyllales, Amaranthaceae. The record is from Rfam.